This 687-nucleotide ribosomal RNA is filed under the name uncultured Gammaproteobacteria bacterium. RNAcentral describes it as "bacterial SSU rRNA". It matches the Rfam family "Bacterial small subunit ribosomal RNA", at positions 78 to 795 of the family's 1533-position model. Lineage: Bacteria; Pseudomonadati; Pseudomonadota; Gammaproteobacteria. The record is from RNAcentral.
CUUCGGUGUGAGUAGAGUGGCGGACGGGUGAGUAACACGUGGGAAUCUACCCAGUAGUGGGGGACAACUACCGGAAACGGUAGCUAAUACCGCAUACGCCCUAUGGGGGAAAGGCUUCGGCCGCUAUUGGAUGAGCCCGCGUCAGAUUAGCUAGUUGGUAGGGUAAAGGCCUACCAAGGCAACGAUCUGUAGCUGGUCUGAGAGGACGAACAGCCACACUGGGACUGAGACACGGCCCAGACUCCUACGGGAGGCAGCAGUGGGGAAUAUUGGACAAUGGGCGAAAGCCUGAUCCAGCAAUGCCGCGUGUGUGAAGAAGGCCUGCGGGUUGUAAAGCACUUUCAGUUGGGAAGAUGAUGACGUUACCAACAGAAGAAGCACCGGCUAAAUCCGUGCCAGCAGCCGCGGUAAUACGGAUGGUGCGAGCGUUAAUCGGAAUUACUGGGCGUAAAGCGCGCGUAGGCGGCUAAGUCAGUCAGAAGUGAAAGCCCCGGGCUCAACCUGGGAAUUGCUUUUGAUACUGCUUAGCUAGAGUUUGGUAGAGGACAGUGGAAUUCCAGGUGUAGCGGUGAAAUGCGUAGAUAUCUGGAGGAACAUCAGUGGCGAAGGCGACUGUCUGGACCAAAACUGACGCUGAGGUGCGAAAGCGUGGGUAGCAAACAGGAUUAGAUACCCUGGUAGAAGGGC